Molecule: long non-coding RNA, 470 nt
Filed under: Cyanistes caeruleus (blue tit)
Lineage: Eukaryota; Metazoa; Chordata; Aves; Passeriformes; Paridae
Description: lncRNA (ENSCCEG00000023437.1)
Source: RNAcentral
GUGGUAACAGGCCCCAGAAUUGUUGUUUCCCAUAACUUUUAUGAAAUUGCCUCUCAGCUGCAUAUUUAUGUUCCUAUGAGGCAUGAUGUUUCCAAUAGAGUAUUUUCUGGCCCUUAACACAUGCAUCCUCAGUUUGAGUUCCUCUUUUCCCCUGGACCUCUUUUAGCUUUAGUCUGUAUACAAAUUCCAUAUCAGAAGUCCUUGCUGGGAAAAAAAGUGCUGUGUACGGUGAAGAGAAUCUCAAGACAAGACACAAGGAGGUGGUUACCCUGUGAUGAUUCUUCAUGAUUAAAAAGGUGCAAUGAAGAGAUUCUCACUGUGAUGAACCCUGCAGUGCUGUAGCUGAUGACAGAAGACAGAAAGGAGCCGAACCUUAGACAUAUCAACCUAAUCAAGUGGAUUGUAAUGCAGCACUGUCACUUUUUGUCCCUGGUCUUUUAAGUACUCUGUUUUUUUCUCAUAGAAUGAGC